AGAGUUUUAGUUCAUAGAGGACGUCCCGCUGUUAACGGGGAAGAGGGCGGUGGUGCCCAUGCUCUU
Molecule: transfer RNA, 66 nt
Filed under: Azumapecten farreri
Lineage: Eukaryota; Metazoa; Mollusca; Bivalvia; Pectinida; Pectinidae
Description: tRNA-Asn
Source: RNAcentral